RNAcentral lists this ribosomal RNA (923 nucleotides) under Escherichia coli. RNAcentral describes it as "partial 23S ribosomal RNA". It matches the Rfam family "Bacterial large subunit ribosomal RNA", at positions 1 to 967 of the family's 2925-position model. Lineage: Bacteria; Pseudomonadati; Pseudomonadota; Gammaproteobacteria; Enterobacterales; Enterobacteriaceae. The record is from RNAcentral.
GUUAAGCGACUAAGCGUACACGGUGGAUGCCCUGGCAGUCAGAGGCGAUGAAGGACGUGCUAAUCUGCGAUAAGCGUCGGUGAGGUGAUAUGAACCGUUAUAACCGGCGAUUUCCGAAUGGGGAAACCCAGUGUGUUUCGACACACUAUCAUUAACUGAAUCCAUAGGUUAAUGAGGCGAACCGGGGGAACUGAAACAUCUAAGUACCCCGAGGAAAAGAAAUCAACCGAGAUUCCCCCAGUAGCGGCGAGCGAACGGGGAGGAGCCCAGAGCCUGAAUCAGUGUGUGUGUUAGUGGAAGCGUCUGGAAAGGCGCGCGAUACAGGGUGACAGCCCCGUACACAAAAAUGCACAUGCUGUGAGCUCGAUGAGUAGGGCGGGACACGUGGUAUCCUGUCUGAAUAUGGGGGGACCAUCCUCCAAGGCUAAAUACUCCUGACUGACCGAUAGUGAACCAGUACCGUGAGGGAAAGGCGAAAAGAACCCCGGCGAGGGGAGUGAAAAAGAACCUGAAACCGUGUACGUACAAGCAGUGGGAGCCUCUUAAUGGGGUGACUGCGUACCUUUUGUAUAAUGGGUCAGCGACUUAUAUUCUGUAGCAAGGUUAACCGAAUAGGGGAGCCGAAGGGAAACCGAGUCUUAACUGGGCGUUAAGUUGCAGGGUAUAGACCCGAAACCCGGUGAUCUAGCCAUGGGCAGGUUGAAGGUUGGGUAACACUAACUGGAGGACCGAACCGACUAAUGUUGAAAAAUUAGCGGAUGACUUGUGGCUGGGGGUGAAAGGCCAAUCAAACCGGGAGAUAGCUGGUUCUCCCCGAAAGCUAUUUAGGUAGCGCCUCGUGAAUUCAUCUCCGGGGGUAGAGCACUGUUUCGGCAAGGGGGUCAUCCCGACUUACCAACCCGAUGCAAACUGCGAAUACCGGA